Molecule: ribosomal RNA, 446 nt
Filed under: uncultured bacterium
Lineage: Bacteria
Description: partial 16S ribosomal RNA
Rfam family: Bacterial small subunit ribosomal RNA
Source: RNAcentral
CCUACGGGUGGCAGCAGUCGAGAAUCAUUCACAAUGGGGGAAACCCUGAUGGUGCGACGCCGCGUGGGGGAAUGAAGGUCUUCGGAUUGUAAACCCCUGUCAUGUGGGAGCAAAUUAAAAAGAUAGUACCACAAGAGGAAGAGACGGCUAACUCUGUGCCAGCAGCCGCGGUAAUACAGAGGUCUCAAGCGUUGUUCGGAAUCACUGGGCGUAAAGCGUGCGUAGGCUGUUUCGUAAGUCGUGUGUGAAAGGCGCGGGCUCAACCCGCGGAAGGCACAUGAUACUGCGAGACUAGAGUGAUGGAGGGGGAACCGGAAUUCUCGGUGUAGCAGUGAAAUGCGUAGAUAUCGAGAGGAACACUCGUGGCGAAGGCGGGUUCCUGGACAUUAACUGACGCUGAGGCACGAAGGCCAGGGGAGCGAAAGGGAUUAGAUACCCCUGUAGUC